Molecule: long non-coding RNA, 1912 nt
Organism: Triticum dicoccoides
Lineage: Eukaryota; Viridiplantae; Streptophyta; Magnoliopsida; Poales; Poaceae
Exons: 3
Source: RefSeq, a predicted model, not a curated record
CAGAUCCGCACUAUAUACCCAAUUUUUGCUUGAUUGUGCAGAUUUGUAAAAAUUUCGAUUUGGAGACGAGUUAGAAUAACCUUGUGAAUUAUUGCUAACCUUGCAAGAGGCAGACAAGGAGGGUCUGAUUGUUGCUGAGCCGAGCUCGUAAACGUCUCACUCAUGUGGUUUUGUGCUAUUCUGAAUCUUCUUCUCUAAAGUGUGUUGUUUCAGUUUCAGACACAAAUGUGUUGCGCUUGCAGUGCAUACCAAUGCAUAGUUUACCGAUGUGCAUGCAUGUUCAUUUGAUUUCACUCCAGUUUACCGAUGUGCAUACGUGUUCAUUUGAUUGCACUUCAGUUUACCAAUUCUUUUUACUAAUCCAAGUUCAACAUAAUGUCUGUAUUGUGCCCUCCAGACCUGAAAAUUCCUACUUUUGGUUAAUAAAUCAUGUUGUUCUCAAGACUCAACUAUGGAUGAUCAGAACAUUAGCAACCUUGAAGUAGCAGUUCUGUUAUGUUCAGAAUUUACUUAAAAUUGAAAUUUGAAAAGAGCAUGAGUUUUGGGCUUUAUUAUUCACCAGGAUCUUUUAGCGUGUGCCUGCAACCAUAGCUUCCAUCGUCAUUACCUUAGGUUUUUCUUUUUUCCAUAUGUUCGGCAAAGAAAAGUCUUCUAGCGUCAUUGCCUUAGUUUCUUUUCCAUAUGUAUGGCAAGUAAAAGUGACAUGCAUUUUAAAUCGUUGGAAGUAAGCUUUGAUGUGUUGUGAUAACAAUUAAUCAUGUACCUUCAUCUGCAUGAAGAGAUAAGAUUUUUCAUGAUUUUGUAUAUCCUUCAGUUUCUUGUUGUAACCUGAAGAAUUCACAAGCAUUCAUAUGUAGAAGUGAGUAGAAUUCAUAUGUAGCAGCGAGUCAUGUUUGUAUGUUUAUACAUUAGAGGUGUUUGUGCAUGAGUCAAUUGGUUGUAGCAGCAGGUAGCAAGUCUUCUCCAGAGUUGACAAAAAAUAUAUUAUUAGUGAUUACUGCAACUCUUUUUUAUUAUUACAAUUGAUUUUCGCAUUAUCUGAUUACUCCAUCAAUGAAUCGCCAUUUAAUCGUAUCUUUACGUAAGGUUAAACUUCUAUUUUUGUUUCCCUCAAGCAUACCAGGUCAAGCAUGGUAGAAAAGUUGAAUGUUUAAUACUUGUUAGAUAAGCUCAGGUUCAGCAGUUUCAGAACAUUUUCGAUAUACAAAUAGUGCUUCAGUUCAAGAAGACGUGUUAGUUUUGAAUUCUCCUUGUGAACACCUCUUUACUUCAGAGCAUCUAAAUAGUGAUGUACCUACUGUAGUUAGGACUUAAGAUGUAUCAGAACUUUUAAAGACAUUUUUCUAUAGUUAGGUUAAGAGAUAUAUGAUGGUGAUGCCAGUGGUUGUGCCUGCCUUAUCCAAAAGCCAUAUAUUUUUGCAAAAUAGAUUAUUACUUGAUGAGUUAUUUCGAAUUUGACCUCAAAAGUAAAGUAAUGAUGAAUCAGGAACUUCAUCUAAUCGUCACCCUAAAGAGCAUACUCCUUAUGUUACUAUUUCUUUCCCUAAUGAUGAACCAGGACCUCCAUUUAAUUCUGACCCUAGAUAGCAUGCUCCCUCCGCUACUAUUGUUUAUUUAAUGGCUGGCCAAAUGAGCUGCAGGAGCAAGAAUUGCAGGAUCAAAACAAAAAACCGGGGAAGAAUAUAAUGUCAGUGUGAUUUGUUGCCAACGGCAAUUCUCCACUGGAGCUCUAUGUACAGCAACAGAAAAAAAUGGAGUUUAGCCUUACAAAGAAGAAGCAGAAAAGAAACUCGGAAGUCCACCUUAUGCGCCUCUGCCUAGCUCAAGGCAUCAGCUGCAGCACCAAGCAUGCCAAGAAGUUUGCCUAUGGUGAGUGCAUGUUGGGUUAUGUGUUCGUGGCUUUCGCCACGGU